AAAGUUCCUCCUUCGGCGUCGUUUUGGCGCCAAGCCCUAGAGGUAAAACUGCCAUUGCAAUUCGCAAGCAUGGUGUGCGCGUCCAGAAUUUCAGAUUACAGAAAUCAUAUCAGAAUCCAGGGAAAGGACGAAAACUUUGAACUGGACAGAAUGGCAGGGGAAUUCAGCACUGGUUCUGGCAUCCGAUGAUGACAAAAUAUCGAUUGAGGGUUGCGAAUACUACAAACCAAGAGUUGUCAGUGGGGGUAGUUGUCAGUGGGGGUUGAGACCUAAUCCUAAAUUGGAUAGACCACUGAUGAUAUAGGGUGUGCAAUGCAUCACAUGGGAGGUUGCUAUGAUUCUUGGAAUGUAGCAGAUUGCCUGUUGUUGUGUGUCAAACUUUUAGUGGUCGAGGAUUGUCGAUGGAAGAUGCCAAUACACAAGGCUGCAGGCGGGAUAAGAUUGCUCACGGAAUUCCCCAAAGAGUUAUAAUAACUAAGUGUGGAAUCUUUGAGUCCAACACAGUGCGCCGCGCUAACAGUAGAUAUUGGAGAGUAAGGUGUAUAGUUACCGCAAGCAAGAGUGGUGGUGUGGAUGAGCACUCUUUGGGAGUUUUGGAGGUGAAUUCCAUCAGUGUUGGGACUGUCCCCAGGGGACGAGACGCUCAUAUCAUGGACCAGAACUCCCUGGCAGUUGUCGAACUUGAGAUGGCAUUGAGGGCUAUUCUGAAUCGUUAUGCCUGUGACCGUCACAUUAAAACUCCCAUAAAACCGCAAUGCCUGUACAAUCAACAACAGUUCAAAAAUCAUGUUACUGAAACUGCAGGUCAAGACUCAAGAGCACAUAAGCUUCAAGAUUUUGGCACACAAGUGGUCCUUACCGUCGGUUUGAUGCUUGGCAUUUUCCCGCUCAGCUGGCUUCUUAUCUGCCACAGAUUUCAUUCACAGGAUGAUGAUUAGUUUAAUUAAGCUCGACGAUCAUGAAAUUUCAUGUUCAAAUUCAACACAGUUUAGUUUAAUUACCGGCAUUGGCGGGCGUUGUUGGACUGAGCUGUUUAGUGGCACAAUGAGUUUGAAAUCAUCGUCUAUAGGGUCUCCAUAGGGAGUGUCUUGCCACCAAGAUGAGCCUCUUCCAUCAAUCACUCCCUUUCCCUGUACUGUGAUUCCAUUUAGCUUUGUAAAUUCAAGCCAUUGGAACAGACCUUUGCCCCAUGAUUCCGAGUCCGUUGGCGCUACUAUCGUACCAUCCAGCUGAGAAAUUCAUAAUUCACCUCGUCAUUGGUACACUAGACGAAAGACGGAAAUCAUAAUUAAGUGAAUGCUAAUGACAGUCGUUCACACAAUUCGAUAUGGGCCGGAGAAUGAGAUGGGACCCACGAGGAACUGGUAACCGGCUGGAACAAUGAUAUUUGAUGCCUCAACUUUACAAGCAGCGGCCCAUGCAGCUUGGAAUGCCUGCGUCACACCGUAUCAAAACCCCUCUGUCAGAUACUAUACGAAUUACAGUAAGUAAUCUUGAACCGUAGAAAAUGGCGUUAGUUUGUUGUGCACAACCGUAUACAAUUAUUGUUGGAACCGUAACAACCCAACUGCCGUAACGAGAAUAAAAUUUGUUCAGUGGGCCCAUUGGGCCCCACCAAUUAGUGAGAGAAGAUUCUCGUCGGAUCCUUUUGUAAGGAUCCCGGAGAUCCUUCAAUCACAUCUGUUCAUCUUAUAUCGUGAUGUCAGUUUUUGUUAGAUAAUGUUUAUAUUCAAUUUUAAAUAAAAAAAUUUACAAUGGAUUUUAACCGCACUAUGUACGAUAAACGGAUGUGAUUGGAAGAUCUUCAAAAUUCUUCGGCGAGGAUCCUCCUGGAUCUUAGUAAUAUUCUCCUGGUGAGUUUAAUCAUUGUAUUAAAUUGUAAUUAUAAAUAGGUAGAACUUACAAAAAGUAUAAAACCGACCACAAUGCUUCUUCAUAAUUUGGGAAAAAUUACCAUCUAACCCAGAGCAUGUCACGUAAAGUUAUUAACCCUAAAGGGUCACGUGCAAAUGAUUCAAAAAGGCAAAACGUUUGCCAAAAUAACUAUUUUGUUUCUCUCAAUGAUUAAUUGGCUACCUGUCAUCUACGUUACAGCUGGAAUUCCUUGUCAUUUUCAUGGUUAUAUGAUAUCAUGAGCUACAUUCGUAAAUGCAGUGGAAAAUACUUGACUUCUUACAUGUAUUUUCUCGUUCCUCGUUGUUUUGUUAAUAGUCAUUUUAGUAUAUGUGUCAAUUUAUGAUUUGCAGUUAGCGAAAAUUGACUCCAUAACGGUAAGGAGACAUGCAGUGUUCAAACCUAGCAACAUUUCUAAUCAAAGCUCAAAUGUUUUUUCUAUGAAGAUAUUUUAAUUAACCCUUGAUCAUGAUUGAUUAGUCCUUAAUUGGCUAACAUAGUAAAACCAUGAUGAGCUUAAAGGAACUACGAACCUUGGUGUCGUCGGUACUGCCGUCACCCUUAGCACCAAAAUCUAGCACAUUAAAAGUGGAUGAACCUUUCUGUGGAGAACUUGGUGGAGUGUCAUCUAUUGGCUUGGGAACUUGAGGUGGCGAUGGUGCCUUGUUUUGAGGUGGAGAUGGUGCCCUUUUAGGUUUUGAUCCACUACCACUGUGGUGGUGGCUACCCCCGCCGCCGCCAUGGCUACUUUUUCCUUUUUUCUUUGAAAGAGAAGCAGAGGAUGCUCUGUUCUGCCUCCAAUGCCGCCCUCUUCUCCCCAUGCAAGCGUCGAAAUUUGACGACCAAACCAGAAAUGCAAGUACAAGCAUGAAUGCGAUGCUUCUGAAACUGAACGCACUCAUUUCUGCACAAUGUGGGAUUGUGGAUGAGAGAGAGAGAGAGAGAGAGAGAGAGAGAGAGGAGAGAGGAGAGAGAAAGGAAGAGCUAAGAAACAGAGAGAGUGUUGUGUGAGAGGGCUGCUUUAGUUUACAUAGAAAAAAAGAUGUGGUGGCUGUGUUUAUAUAGACAGAGACACAUACAUAAGCUCGUAGGAAUUUAUAAAUUUAUGAAUAUAAUUCUCAUUUUUAUUU
Malus domestica (apple) is the source of this 3023-nucleotide long non-coding RNA. RefSeq lists it as uncharacterized. The record is from RefSeq and is a predicted model, not a curated record. Lineage: Eukaryota; Viridiplantae; Streptophyta; Magnoliopsida; Rosales; Rosaceae.